CUUGGGUCGGCUCCAGUCGGACGUGGGGGAGCUGUGGAAGUGCUGCUGGUGCUGCACGUGGGUUACUCCCCGUGGACCUCUCCGUUGCUCAUCCGUCGCCUGGCUGUGAGGCGUGGGAGUUUAAAGGCACGUGGGGUGCUGCUUUGGGGGGGGGGACCCGCUCAGAGCAGGCUGUGUGCAGCGGGUGGGAUGCAGGCCGUGUGCUGCGUGGUGCCCUGGCAGCUCAGGUGGUGCCUGGGCUGUGAGCCGGGCCGUCCUCAUCCCCAGGCACCGGCAGGGAGGUGGGGGCCCUCUGAAGCUCCCGGACUUAUUUUUUUCCCUCUUCGAGUGUUUGGAAAAGGGCAAAUCAAACUUACCUGCUUUCCAAGGGCUUUGCUGCUCUGCCCUCUCCUUUCCUCCCUCUCCUCUCACUCAGCGUAGCCCAGCUUCUCCUUUGCUCCCAUUGAGGAGCGUCCUCGUGGAAAAGGCUGCGAGAGCCACACUGGGCAGACGGGAGGGGUCCGGGGAAGCGUUGCAGGGCUGCAGACAAGAAAUCUGAGAGAGGAGAAGAUGAGUGAAGUGCUGGUGGAGGAGCCAGAUGGGAGAGGAAGAACGGCAGGCCAGGAGCAAGAAGGGACCCAAUGCUGGGUUGGAACCACCAGAAAGAGGAAGGGCUGUGAGCUGAACGCGGGCUGACCUGCACCAAGGAAGGGAAAGAAGCGGCGCAGUGCAGCGUUCCCCGGUGCCAGCGAGCUCUGUUGGCAGUGGGAUGUUGGGGAGAGGACGGUGAGAUCUCAGGGGUGUGCAGAUAUCAGCUGGCGUUGCCUCAGCCUUGGCUGCUGCAGCCUGAUCCCAAGGCUUGGCCUGAACCCUGCUGGAGGAUCCGAGUUCAGCCCAAAAGCACCGGGAGGAAGUACCAGAACUGUUCCCAGGCCACCCCUGCACCACGGCAGUGCCUGCAGCAGUGGGGGCUGGCCUGGCUCUCCAGCAUGGCGUUGUGCUUUGGGGGAAAGUUUCUGCAUCCCACUGCCGUAGGUGUGCUGGAGGCUGCAGCAAUCACAAGGAGGACUUAAUGAUCUUACGGGUCUCCUGCAACUGAAACAACUCUAUAACUCUGUGACUUCCCAGCACGUGCAUAUGGGGCUGCCAAGGGGCUGCUCAUGCUUGCAGGCACCAGGGGAGGUUGCAGGGGUUCCACAGGUUCAGCACAUCCAGAUUUCACCGGAGACCUGCCUUGGUUUGAGCAAAAGGACAGCUUGGCCCUUUCAGUAAGAAGUUACAGGCAUCUCCAGCGAGUUCUGUUCCUCACAGCCAUCUCCUCUCCGAUGCGAUAUGGGUUGGACACAUCCCUGCCAGGGUCCAGCCCCACUGCCCUGCCCCAGGGCAAAACGGUUUGGCUGGAGGAGUGUGGCUGCUCCUGGGGCUGGGGGAGUGGGGCUGCCCGAAGGAGCCCGGGGUGACGCUGGGGGAGAACGCUGCCCUGCGCACUAUGGGGGGUAGGAAGGCACAGGGACACAGCAUCCUGGGGCGCAGCCCCUGAACGAACAAGGCGGGCCUGGGGAGCCCCUUCCCGCUGCCCUGUGCCGGGGUGCCCCAGUUUGACGUUCCCCCCAUCCCGGCCCCGCCACGGGGCUCAGCCCAGCCCACGUCCUGCCUGGCUCCAAGCUGCCCCGUGGUUCUGCUCUCCUCCUCUGAAUUGUAUUUAUUUAUUUAUAUGGAGAUGUAAUAAAACUCCAGCAGGAAACGGAGGCGAUUCCCUGCCAUUCCCCACAAGCCGGCCCUGGGACGGGCUGAACAAGGAGGCACAUUGUGCAGCGCAGACCCGCCUGCCAGCGCCGGGCUGUGUGCGGGGCUGAGGGGCCCGGGCCAGGCAAAGAAAGAGCCGAGUGUGUGCCUGCGCCGGGCCGGUGCCGACACCGGCGUGCCGGGAGCACCGCGGGGCUGUGGGAUGGGGCAGCCUGGGGCUGAGCUCCGUUUUGGCACCGCAGGUGGGUUGCAGGCAUGCCGGAGCGGGCAGGCAGCAGCGCCGGGGAUGAAAGGGCUUCUGUGCUAGCCUGGAACGUCACCUGGGAGCACAGCGUUGCCUGCUCCAAACCGCGCUCCUCCUCUGCCUCUUCUGCCAGGAAACCGGGCAGCGCCGAGGGUCAGCCGCGGGGCAGGCGCCCCAUGGCCUGGUUUGGUGGCUGUGACCCACUCCUGCCGGGCUCCGGCAGCUGGCAGCGAGCGGCAGCCUUUCACCGGCCCAUGGGAGGCAGCCGCUUUGAGCGGGGAUGUUGCCAUCAGUAGGGGUCAGAGUGAACGGCCGCUGCCAAGGCCUGUGGGUGGUGAGCGAGGUGAUGGGGGCUGCACGUGGCUCAGCCUGCAGCUCCUCCAGGCUUGCCACCGGCGUGGCUCCUGCUGACCUUCUUCAUCACAGCUGCUAGAGUUACUGAAACCGCACGCCAAAGGGAAAAGGGGAAAAAUCCCAAAUCCUCCAGGAAAUGUCUUUGCAAACCUCCUCUGUGGUGCAGCAGAGGCAUCGGCAUCGCUGCCUGGGAGCAGGCAGGCUGUGUCCUGCAGGGGACAGUUGGCACAGCAGGGUUGUCCCUCUGCACCAGGGGACGGGGGAAUAAUUGGAAUGAGACGGACGUUGGGUCAGGCCAUGUCCUGGCUCUGGGCUGGGAGGACAUGGAUGGGGCUCUGCGGCCCCUCAGGGAUCUGCGGCACCUUUGGCACCUCUCACCAGCCUGGCACGGGGACCAGUGGAGCGUGACAGCCCUGCCGUGCCAGCCAGGACAUUGGUAUGCAGAUGGCAGGGGGUGACACAAGGAGGGGACGGCCCUUCCUGCAGGGUGCUCACGCCAGGCUCUGGGUGUCUGAGCACACAGCUGCGGGGUGUGGGGCUGGGCACAGCGGGACCCCCGGGGCCCAUCGUUCUCUGCCCACAGUGCCCGCAGUGCCCUUCCUGGACGGGGCUGCCUGCCUGGUGACAUGCUGCACAGUCUCAUGAAGCCAUAAAAAUAGCUGCAGCUUGGGUGUAGGAUGAGCACGGCUGUUAAUUCCCCCCUGCCAGGGUUCUCGUUGCGUUGCUAUAAUUAAUGCCUGAGUCAGGGAAGAAAUGGCUUUUCCCUUCCGCCGGUGCCAGCUGGGGCAGGAGCAGUGCCACGAAGUCCCUCUGCUUUGCCCAUCUCCUGCCAGUGUCAGAUUCCUGCCCCAUUUCUUCACUGUCUGUCCCCAGAAACCCCCUGCCCUCCCACCCCACUGCUGCACACCAACAGAGGGAUCUCAGCACUGAGCCACAGAGCCACAGGGCGCAGAGCAGUGCCUGCUUUGCCCCAGCUUGGGUGUAUCUGCACUGUGCAGGAACGGGAGGGUUCGGGCUGGAGGACUCCCAACACUGCUGGCAAAGCACAGCGUGGCCACAGCGAGAACCCCCAUCCACAUGGGUGCCCGAGUGGGUGCCAGCCUGCAGCUGGGUGGGCUCUCCGAGGAUGGACCCCUCCAGCUGCUCCGCAGCCCAUCCGGCCCUGGUGCUGGCAUCCCUUUGAAAUCGACCCAGCUGGCCUUUCACACCAGCUAUUCCUGUGAAAUUCUUUGGGAAGGGAAAAUUUGCUGCCCGGAUCCUUGCAGAGCUGCGCCCUCGCCCUCCCUCGGGCUGCAACCGACAGCAGAGGGUCCUUUGGAGCUGAGGGUGCUUUUGGGUCUUUCGGUCCUUACUACAGCCCCUGCCUGAAAGCACCGGGGAGAGCUGGGAGUACCACAGCACUGUGCCCAGGGCAGAGCAGAGCCAUCGGGGAGUGCAGAGCCCAGCGGGCACGUGGGUCUGCGUGUCCCCACGUAUGUCCCAGCUGCCCCUGCCAAGGUGCAGAGCCUGUGGGACCCUCUCCUCCUCCACCACCUCCUCCAUCGUGCCCCCUCCCCUGCUCCGUCGCUCCCUCUGAGGCAGGGGCCACCCCCGCUGCUGCUGCCGUGGGGGAUGCCCAGGAUCCCACGCCCACGUCCCAUCCGUGCACGUUCUGGGGGCGUCUCGCAGCCUCUCCGUGCAGCCCGGCAGCGCCAGGCGACUGCUCUCGACCCGUGGCCUUCCCGCUCCUUCCCCCCUCCCCUCGCUGAGGAUCUCGCACAGGUUUGCGAGCACUGUUGACGGGAAGAAAGGAAAUGGGGCAAAGCUGCUGCCAGGAACCACAGGCUCCUGUCAUACGGCCCCGCUCCGCCGGCCUGGACGCUUCGCGGGCAGAUUUCUGUGCAGCCUCUGUGAUUUCUUUAUUCAAGCUAUUGAUAUUGGAUUCACAGCCCAGGGACGCUUCCAAAGCCAUAAAUCCGCCGUGUUGCUCUACCUGGUGUUCUUGUUUUCACUGCGAGGCUUCCAGACCCGCCGGAGACCUCAGCUUCUGUGCGCAGCCACGGUGUCGUGGGCACGGCGCUCCACGUGCGCCCCCCCCGCCCCACGGCCGCCCCGGCGCUCCCCUGCCUGAUCUGCGGGGCCGGGG
RNAcentral lists this long non-coding RNA (4448 nucleotides) under Gallus gallus (chicken). RNAcentral describes it as "lncRNA (ENSGALG00010029869.1)". Lineage: Eukaryota; Metazoa; Chordata; Aves; Galliformes; Phasianidae. The record is from RNAcentral.